RNAcentral lists this ribosomal RNA (1460 nucleotides) under uncultured organism. RNAcentral's name for it is "16S ribosomal RNA". It matches the Rfam family "Bacterial small subunit ribosomal RNA". The record is from RNAcentral.
CGUGCCUAAUACAUGCAAGUAGAACGCUGAAGAGAGGAGCUUGCUCUUCUUGGAUGAGUUGCGAACGGGUGAGUAACGCGUAGGUAACCUGCCUUGUAGCGGGGGAUAACUAUUGGAAACGAUAGCUAAUACCGCAUAACAAUGGAUGACACAUGUCAUUUAUUUGAAAGGGGCAAAUGCUCCACUACAAGAUGGACCUGCGUUGUAUUAGCUAGUAGGUGAGGUAACGGCUCACCUAGGCGACGAUACAUAGCCGACCUGAGAGGGUGAUCGGCCACACUGGGACUGAGACACGGCCCAGACUCCUACGGGAGGCAGCAGUAGGGAAUCUUCGGCAAUGGGGGCAACCCUGACCGAGCAACGCCGCGUGAGUGAAGAAGGUUUUCGGAUCGUAAAGCUCUGUUGUAAGUCAAGAACGAGUGUGAGAGUGGAAAGUUCACACUGUGACGGUAGCUUACCAGAAAGGGACGGCUAACUACGUGCCAGCAGCCGCGGUAAUACGUAGGUCCCGAGCGUUGUCCGGAUUUAUUGGGCGUAAAGCGAGCGCAGGCGGUUUGAUAAGUCUGAAGUUAAAGGCUGUGGCUCAACCAUAGUUCGCUUUGGAAACUGUCAAACUUGAGUGCAGAAGGGGAGAGUGGAAUUCCAUGUGUAGCGGUGAAAUGCGUAGAUAUAUGGAGGAACACCGGUGGCGAAAGCGGCUCUCUGGUCUGUAACUGACGCUGAGGCUCGAAAGCGUGGGGAGCGAACAGGAUUAGAUACCCUGGUAGUCCACGCCGUAAACGAUGAGUGCUAGGUGUUGGAUCCUUUCCGGGAUUCAGUGCCGCAGCUAACGCAUUAAGCACUCCGCCUGGGGAGUACGACCGCAAGGUUGAAACUCAAAGGAAUUGACGGGGGCCCGCACAAGCGGUGGAGCAUGUGGUUUAAUUCGAAGCAACGCGAAGAACCUUACCAGGUCUUGACAUCCCGAUGCUAUUUCUAGAGAUAGAAAGUUACUUCGGUACAUCGGUGACAGGUGGUGCGUGGUUGUCGUCAGCUCGUGUCGUGAGAUGUUGGGUUAAGUCCCGCAACGAGCGCAACCCCUAUUGUUAGUUGCCAUCAUUCAGUUGGGCACUCUAGCGAGACUGCCGGUAAUAAACCGGAGGAAGGUGGGGAUGACGUCAAAUCAUCAUGCCCCUUAUGACCUGGGCUACACACGUGCUACAAUGGUUGGUACAACGAGUUGCGAGUCGGUGACGGCAAGCUAAUCUCUUAAAGCCAAUCUCAGUUCGGAUUGUAGGCUGCAACUCGCCUACAUGAAGUCGGAAUCGCUAGUAAUCGCGGAUCAGCACGCCGCGGUGAAUACGUUCCCGGGCCUUGUACACACCGCCCGUCACACCACGAGAGUUUGUAACACCCGAAGUCGGUGAGGUAACCUUUUGGAGCCAGCCGCCUAAGGUGGGAUAGAUGAUUGGGGUGAAGUC